UAUUAGUUUGGUGCAAAAGUAAUUGCAGUUUUUGCCAUAACUUUCAAAGGCAAAUACUGCAAUUACUUUUGCACCAACUUAAUAU
MicroRNA precursor from Aotus nancymaae (Ma's night monkey), 85 nucleotides. Lineage: Eukaryota; Metazoa; Chordata; Mammalia; Primates; Aotidae. The record is from Ensembl.